GCAGAAAAGCGGUCUGUCGCUUGGGAGGUUUCUUUCAAGAGGAAAGUCCGGGCAACACAGAGCAUCAUGUUUCCUAACGGGAAGCCGGCGGCAACGCCGGAGAUAAGUGAUAGAAAACAACCGCCCCUCCCUUGGAGAUGGUAAGGGUGAGAAGGUGGGGUAAGAGCCCACCGGCUCCCAUGGUGACAUGGGAGGCCGCACAUCUCAUGAGUUGCAAGGCCAAAUAUACCGGCAGUCAAGGAUUGCUCGUCCAUUGCCGGGGGGUAGGCUGCUCCAGCUCGCAGGCAACUGCGAUGCGUAGAUAAAUGACAGACACCGUCUUCAUGACGGCACAUAACCCGGCUUACAGCCUUUCUGCAUCU
Molecule: RNase P RNA, 362 nt
Filed under: Bacteroides sp.
Lineage: Bacteria; Pseudomonadati; Bacteroidota; Bacteroidia; Bacteroidales; Bacteroidaceae
Description: RNase P RNA component class A
Rfam family: Bacterial RNase P class A
About the family: Ribonuclease P (RNase P) is a ubiquitous endoribonuclease, found in archaea, bacteria and eukarya as well as chloroplasts and mitochondria. Its best characterised activity is the generation of mature 5'-ends of tRNAs by cleaving the 5'-leader elements of precursor-tRNAs.
Source: RNAcentral